Molecule: ribosomal RNA, 198 nt
Filed under: uncultured bacterium
Lineage: Bacteria
Description: partial 16S ribosomal RNA
Rfam family: Bacterial small subunit ribosomal RNA
Source: RNAcentral
ACGCUCGACACCUACGGGAGGCAGCAGUGGGGAAUAUUGCACAAUGGGGGAAACCCUGAUGCAGCGACGCCGCGUGAGUGAAGAAGUAUUUCGGUAUGUAAAGCUCUAUCAGCAGGGAAGAAGAUGACGGUACCUGAGUAAGAAGCCCCGGCUAACUACGUGCCAGAAGCCGCGGUAAUCUGAGCGGGCUGGCAAGGC